Molecule: ribosomal RNA, 253 nt
Filed under: uncultured bacterium
Lineage: Bacteria
Description: partial 16S ribosomal RNA
Rfam family: Bacterial small subunit ribosomal RNA
Source: RNAcentral
UACGGAGGGUGCAAGCGUUAUCCGGAUUUACUGGGUUUAAAGGGUGCGUAGGUGGAUUUGUAAGUCAGUGGUGAAAUCUCCGAGCUUAACUCGGAAACUGCCAUUGAUACUAUAAGUCUUGAAUUAUCUGGAGGUAAGCGGAAUAUGUCAUGUAGCGGUGAAAUGCUUAGAUAUGACAUAGAACACCAAUUGCGAAGGCAGCUUACUACGGAUAUAUUGACACUGAGGCACGAAAGCGUGGGGAUCAAACAGG